GACGAACGCUGGCGGCGUGCUUAACACAUGCAAGUCGAACGGAAAGGCCCUGCUUUUGUGGGCUGCUCGAGUGGCGACCGGGUGAGUAACACGUGAGUACCCUGCCAUUGCCUUUGGGAUAACUUCAGGCAACUGGGUGUAAUACCGGAUAGGAGCUCCUGCUGCAUGGUGGGGGUUGGAUAGUUUCGGCGGUUGGGGAUGGACUAGCGUCCUAUCAGCUUGUUGGUUGGGUAGUGGCUUACCAAGGCUUUGCCGGGUAGCCGGCCUGAGAGGGUGACCUGCCACGUUGGGACUGAGAUGCGGCCCAGACUCCUACGGGAGGCAGCGGUGGGGAAUAUUGCACAAUGGGCGGAAGCCUGAUGCAGCAACGCCGCGUGCGGGAUGACAGCCUUCGGGUUGUAAACCGCUUUCGCCUGUGACGAAGCGUGAGUGACGGUAAUGGGUAAAGAAGCACCGGCUAACUACGUG
This 468-nucleotide ribosomal RNA is filed under the name uncultured bacterium. Its description in RNAcentral is "partial 16S ribosomal RNA". It matches the Rfam family "Bacterial small subunit ribosomal RNA", at positions 28 to 507 of the family's 1533-position model. The record is from RNAcentral.